Molecule: ribosomal RNA, 253 nt
Filed under: uncultured bacterium
Lineage: Bacteria
Description: partial 16S ribosomal RNA
Rfam family: Bacterial small subunit ribosomal RNA
Source: RNAcentral
GACAGAGGAUGCAAGCGUUAUCCGGAAUGAUUGGGCGUAAAGCGUCUGUAGGUGGCUUUUCAAGUCCGCCGUCAAAUCCCAGGGCUCAACCCUGGACAGGCGGUGGAAACUACCAAGCUGGAGUACGGUAGGGGCAGAGGGAAUUUCCGGUGGAGCGGUGAAAUGCGUAGAGAUCGGGAGGAACACCAAAGGCGAAAGCACUCUGCUGGGCCACAACUGACACUGAGAGACGAAAGCGAGGGGAGCAAAAGGG